CUCCGUAGGUGAANCUGCGGANGGAUCAUUACACAAUAUGAAGGCGGGCUGGAACCUCUCGGGGUUACAGCCUUGCUGAAUUAUUCACCCUUGUCUUUUGCGUACUUCUUGUUUCCUUGGUGGGUUCGCCCACCACUAGGACAAACAUAAACCUUUUGUAAUUGCAAUCAGCGUCAGUAACAAAUUAAUAAUUACAACUUUCAACAACGGAUCUCUUGGUUCUGGCAUCGAUGAAGAACGCAGCGAAAUGCGAUAAGUAGUGUGAAUUGCAGAAUUCAGUGAAUCAUCGAAUCUUUGAACGCACAUUGCGCCCUUUGGUAUUCCAAAGGGCAUGCCUGUUCGAGCGUCAUUUGUACCCUCAAGCUUUGCUUGGUGUUGGGCGUCUUGUCUCUAGCUUUGCUGGAGACUCGCCUUAAAGUAAUUGGCAGCCGGCCUACUGGUUUCGGAGCGCAGCACAAGUCGCACUCUCUAUCAGCAAAGGUCUAGCAUCCAUUAAGCCUUUUUUUCAACUUUUGACCUCGGAUCAGGUAGGGAUACCCGCUGAACUUAAGCAUAUCA
Molecule: ribosomal RNA, 558 nt
Filed under: uncultured fungus
Lineage: Eukaryota; Fungi
Description: eukaryotic LSU rRNA
Rfam family: 5.8S ribosomal RNA (bases 196-349)
Source: RNAcentral